RNAcentral lists this ribosomal RNA (496 nucleotides) under Streptococcus mutans. RNAcentral's name for it is "bacterial SSU rRNA". It matches the Rfam family "Bacterial small subunit ribosomal RNA", at positions 28 to 499 of the family's 1533-position model. Lineage: Bacteria; Bacillati; Bacillota; Bacilli; Lactobacillales; Streptococcaceae. The record is from RNAcentral.
GACGAACGCUGGCGGCGUGCCUAAUACAUGCAAGUGGGACGCAAGGGAACACACUGUGCUUGCACACCGUGUUUUCUUGAGUCGCGAACGGGUGAGUAACGCGUAGGUAACCUGCCUAUUAGCGGGGGAUAACUAUUGGAAACGAUAGCUAAUACCGCAUAAUAUUAAUUAUUGCAUGAUAAUUGAUUGAAAGAUGCAAGCGCAUCACUAGUAGAUGGACCUGCGUUGUAUUAGCUAGUUGGUAAGGUAAGAGCUUACCAAGGCGACGAUACAUAGCCGACCUGAGAGGGUGAUCGGCCACACUGGGACUGAGACACGGCCCAGACUCCUACGGGAGGCAGCAGUAGGGAAUCUUCGGCAAUGGACGAAAGUCUGACCGAGCAACGCCGCGUGAGUGAAGAAGGUUUUCGGAUCGUAAAGCUCUGUUGUAAGUCAAGAACGUGUGUGAGAGUGGAAAGUUCACACAGUGACGGUAGCUUACCAGAAAGGACGGCUA